Molecule: ribosomal RNA, 820 nt
Filed under: uncultured Rhodobacter sp.
Lineage: Bacteria; Pseudomonadati; Pseudomonadota; Alphaproteobacteria; Rhodobacterales
Description: bacterial SSU rRNA
Rfam family: Bacterial small subunit ribosomal RNA
Source: RNAcentral
CUCGGCUGCUUACCAUGCAGUCGAACGGGCGUAGCAAUACGUCAGUGGCAGACGGGUGAGUAACGCGUGGGAACGUACCUUUUGGUUCGGAACAACUGAGGGAAACUUCAGCUAAUACCGGAUAAGCCCUUACGGGGAAAGAUUUAUCGCCGAAAGAUCGGCCCGCGUCUGAUUAGCUAGUUGGUGAGGUAAUGGCUCACCAAGGCGACGAUCAGUAGCUGGUCUGAGAGGAUGAUCAGCCACAUUGGGACUGAGACACGGCCCAAACUCCUACGGGAGGCAGCAGUGGGGAAUAUUGGACAAUGGGGGCAACCCUGAUCCAGCCAUGCCGCGUGAGUGAUGAAGGCCCUAGGGUUGUAAAGCUCUUUUGUGCGGGAAGAUAAUGACGGUACCGCAAGAAUAAGCCCCGGCUAACUUCGUGCCAGCAGCCGCGGUAAUACGAAGGGGGCUAGCGUUGCUCGGAAUCACUGGGCGUAAAGGGUGCGUAGGCGGGUUUCUAAGUCAGAGGUGAAAGCCUGGAGCUCAACUCCAGAACUGCCUUUGAUACUGGAAGUCUUGAGUAUGGCAGAGGUGAGUGGAACUGCGAGUGUAGAGGUGAAAUUCGUAGAUAUUCGCGAGAACACCAGUGGCGAAGGCGGCUCACUGGGCCAUUACUGACGCUGAGGCACGAAAGCGUGGGGAGCAAACAGGAUUAGAUACCCUGGUAGUCCACGCCGUAACGAUGAAUGCCAGCCGUUAGUGGGUUUACUCACUAGUGGCGCAGCUAACGCUUUAAGCAUUCCGCCUGGGGAGUACGGUCGCAGAUUAAACUCAAGGAGUG